GCCGCCUUAGCUCAGGGGUAGAGCGCAUCAUUGGUAAUGAUGAGGUCGACAGUUCAAUUCUGUCAGGUGGCACCA
Molecule: transfer RNA, 75 nt
Filed under: Hyphomonas sp.
Lineage: Bacteria; Pseudomonadati; Pseudomonadota; Alphaproteobacteria; Hyphomonadales; Hyphomonadaceae
Also listed under: 1 other name
Description: tRNA-Thr
Rfam family: tRNA
About the family: Transfer RNA (tRNA) molecules are approximately 80 nucleotides in length. Their secondary structure includes four short double-helical elements and three loops (D, anti-codon, and T loops).
Source: RNAcentral